Molecule: long non-coding RNA, 5934 nt
Organism: Clupea harengus (Atlantic herring)
Lineage: Eukaryota; Metazoa; Chordata; Actinopteri; Clupeiformes; Clupeidae
Source: Ensembl
GCCAUUUAGUGUUUGAAGUGUUACAGGCCAAAAUAGAAAAAAAUAGUAAGAGCAUAUUGGUAACUUUGACCGGUUAAGCAAAAAGACAGGAAAGUCAUUGGCUAGCCUUGUUAGGUGCUGACUACGACUGUAGAUGAGCCAUUAAGUGUUUGAAGUGUUACAGGCCAAAAUAGAAAAAAAUAGUAAGAGCAUAUUGGUAACUUUGACCGGUUAAGCAAAAAAGGCAGGAAAGUCAUUGGCUAGCCUUGUUAGGUGCUGACUAAGACUGUAGAUGAGCCAUUAAGUGUUUGAAGUGUUACAGGCCAAAAUAGAAAAGAAUAGAACUUUUUUUUUUUUACUGAUUUUGUUCACCAAAAUAUAUGCAUAAAUACUUUUUUUUUUUUUUUUUUUAAACUGAUUUUGUUUAUCAAUAUACAUGCAUUAAUACUUUUUUUUUAACUGAUUUAAGUGUUACAGGCCAAAAUAGAAAAAAAUAGUAAGAGCAUGUUGGUAACUUUGACCGGUUAAGCAAAAAAGGCAGGAAAGUCAUUGGCUAGCCUUGUUAGGUACUGACUAAGACUGUAGAUGAGCCAUUAAGUGUUUGAAGUGUUACAGGCCAAAAUAGAAAAAAAUUGUACUUUUUUUUUUUUUUUACUGACUUUGUUUAUCAAUAUACAUGCAUAAAUACUUUUUUUUUUUUAACUGAUUUUGUUUAUCAAUAUACAUGCAUAAAUACUUUUUUUUUUUUUAACUGAUUUUGUUCAUCAAUAUACAUGCAUAAAUACUUUCUUUUUUUUUUUUAACUGAUUUUGUUCAUCAAUUUACAUGCAUAAAUACUUUUUUUUUUUUUUUAAACUGAUUUUGUUCAUCAAUAUACAUGCAUUAAUACUUUUUUUUUUAACUGAUUUAAGUGUUACAGGCCAAAAGAGAAAAAGAUUGUAUGAGCAUAUUGGUAACCUCGACCGGUUAAGCAAAAAAGCCAGGAAAGUCAUUGGCGAGACUUGUUAGGUGCUGACUAAGACUGUAGAUGAGCCAUUAAGUGCUUGAAGUGUUACAGGCCAAAAGAAAAAAAUAAUGUAUGAGCAUAUUGGUAACCUCGACCGGUUAAGCAAAAAAGGCAGGAAAGUCAUUGGCUAGCCUUGUUAGGUGCUGACUACGACUGUAGAUGAGCCAUUAAGUGUUUGAAGUGUUACAGGCCAAAAUAGAAAAAAUAGUAAGAGCAUAUUGGUAACCUCGACCGGUUAAGCAAAAAAGGCAGGAAAGUCAUUGGCUAGCCUUGUUAGGUGCUGACUAAGACUGUAGAUGAGCCAUUAAGUGUUUGAAGUGUUACAGGCCAAAAUAGAAAAGAAUAGUACUUUUUUUUUUUUUAACUGAUUUUGUUUAUCAAUAUACAUGCAUAAAUACUUUUUUUUUUUUUUUAAACUGAUUUUGUUUAUCAAUAUACAUGCAUUAAUACUUUUUUUUUUAACUGAUUUAAGUGUUACAGGCCAAAAGAGAAAAAGAUUGUAUGAGCCAAUGUAACCUCGACCGGUUAAGCAAAAAAGGCAGGAAAGUCAUUGGCUAGCCUUGUUAGGUGCUGACUAAGACUGUAGAUGAGCCAUUAAGUGUUUGAAGUGUUACAGGCCAAAAUAGAAAAAAAUUGUAUGAGCAUAUUGGUAACCUCGACCGGUUAAGCAAAAAAGGCAGGAAAGUCAUUGGCUAGCCUUGUUAGGUGCCGACUAAGACUGUAGAUGAGCCAUUAAGUGUUUGAAGUGUUACAGGCCAAAAUAGAAAAAAAUAGUACUUUUUUUUUUUUUUUACUGAUUUUGUUUAUUAAUACACAUGCAUAAAUACUUUUUUUUUUUUUUUUUUUUACUGAUUUAAGUGUUACAGGCCAAAAGAGAAAAAAUUUGUAUGAGCAUAUUGGUAACCUCGACCGGUUAAGCAAAAAGGCAGGAAAGUCAUUGGCUAGCCUUGUUAGGUGCUGACUACGACUGUAGAUGAGCCAUUAAGUGUUUGAAGUGUUACAGGCCAAAAUAGAAAAAAAUAGUAAGAGCAUAUUGGUAACUUUGACCGGUUAAGCAAAAAAGGCAGGAAAGUCAUUGGCUAGCCUUGUUAGGUGCUGACUAAGACUGUAGAUGAGCCAUUAAGUGUUUGAAGUGUUACAGGCCAAAAUAGAAAAGAAUAGUACUUUUUUUUUUUUACUGAUUUUGUUCACCAAAAUAUAUGCAUAAAUACUUUUUUUUUUUUUUUUUUUAACUGAUUUUGUUUAUCAAUAUACAUGCAUUAAUACUUUUUUUUUAACUGAUUUAAGUGUUACAGGCCAAAAUAGAAAAAAAUAGUAAGAGCAUGUUGGUAACUUUGACCGGUUAAGCAAAAAAGGCAGGAAAGUCAUUGGCUAGCCUUGUUAGGUACUGACUAAGACUGUAGAUGAGCCAUUAAGUGUUUGAAGUGUUACAGGCCAAAAUAGAAAAAAAAUUGUACUUUUUUUUUUUUUUUACUGACUUUGUUUAUCAAUAUACAUGCAUAAAUACUUUUUUUUUUUUUAACUGAUUUUGUUUAUCAAUAUACAUGCAUUAAUACUUUUUUUUUUUUUUAACUGAUUUUGUUCAUCAAUAUACAUGCAUAAAUACUUUCUUUUUUUUUUUUUUAACUGAUUUUGUUCAUCAAUUUACAUGCAUAAAUACUUUUUUUUUUUUUUAAACUGAUUUUGUUCAUCAAUAUACAUGCAUUAAUACUUUUUUUUUUAACUGAUUUAAGUGUUACAGGCCAAAAGAGAAAAAGAUUGUAUGAGCAUAUUGGUAACCUCGACCGGUUAAGCAAAAAAGCCAGGAAAGUCAUUGGCGAGACUUGUUAGGUGCUGACUAAGACUGUAGAUGAGCCAUUAAGUGCUUGAAGUGUUACAGGCCAAAAGAAAAAAAUAAUGUAUGAGCAUAUUGGUAACCUCGACCGGUUAAGCAAAAAAGGCAGGAAAGUCAUUGGCUAGCCUUGUUAGGUGCUGACUACGACUGUAGAUGAGCCAUUAAGUGUUUGAAGUGUUACAGGCCAAAAUAGAAAAAAAUAGUAAGAGCAUAUUGGUAACCUCGACCGGUUAAGCAAAAAAGGCAGGAAAGUCAUUGGCUAGCCUUGUUAGGUGCUGACUAAGACUGUAGAUGAGCCAUUGAGUGUUUGAAGUGUUACAGGCCAAAAUAGAAAAGAAUAGUACUUUUUUUUUUUUUUAACUGAUUUUGUUUAUCAAUAUACAUGCAUAAAUACUUUUUUUUUUUUUUUAACUGAUUUUGUUCAUCAAUAUACAUGCAUAAAUACUUUUUUUUUUUUUUUUUUAACUGAUUUUGUUCAUCAAUAUACAUGCAUAAAUACUUUUUUUUUAACUGAUUUAAGUGUUACAGGCCAAAAGAGAAAAAGAUUGUAUGAGCCAAUGUAACCUCGACCGGUUAAGCAAAAAAGGCAGGAAAGUCAUUGGCUAGCCUUGUUAGGUACUGACUAAGACUGUAGAUGAGCCAUUAAGUGUUUGAAGUGUUACAGGCCAAAAUAGAAAAAAAUUGUACUUUUUUUUUUUUUUUUUUUUUUACUGAUUUUGUUUAUCAAUAUACAUGCAUAAAUACUUUUUUUUUUUUUUUUAACUGAUUUUGUUUAUCAAUAUACAUGCAUUAAUACUUUUUUUUUUUUAACUGAUUUUGUUCAUCAAUAUACAUGCAUAAAUACUUUUUUUUUUUUUUUUUAACUGAUUUUGUUCAUCAAUUUACAUGCAUGAAUACUUCUUUUUUUUUUUUUAAACUGAUUUUGUUCAUCAAUAUACAUGCAUUAAUACUUUUUUUUUUAACUGAUUUAAGUGUUACAGGCCAAAAGAGAAAAAGAUUGUAUGAGCAUAUUGGUAACCUCGACCGGUUAAGCAAAAAAGCCAGGAAAGUCAUUGGCGAGACUUGUUAGGUGCUGACUAAGACUGUAGAUGAGCCAUUAUUGAUACUGAUUUUGUUUAUCAAUAUAUACAUGCAUUAAUACUUUUUUUUUUUUUAACUGAUUUUGUUCAUCAAUAUACAUGCAUAAAUACUUUUUUUUUUUUUUUUUAACUGAUUUUGUUCAUCAAUUUACAUGCAUGAAUACUUCUUUUUUUUUUUUUAAACUGAUUUUGUUCAUCAAUAUACAUGCAUUAAUACUUUUUUUUUUAACUGAUUUAAGUGUUACAGGCCAAAAGAGAAAAAGAUUGUAUGAGCAUAUUGGUAACCUCGACCGGUUAAGCAAAAAAGCCAGGAAAGUCAUUGGCGAGACUUGUUAGGUGCUGACUAAGACUGUAGAUGAGCCAUUAUUGAUACUGAUUUUGUUUAUCAAUAUACAUGCAUUAAUACUUUUUUUUUUUUUAACUGAUUUUGUUCAUCAAUAUACAUGCAUAAAUACUUUUUUUUUUUUUUUUUAACUGAUUUUGUUCAUCAAUUUACAUGCAUGAAUACUUCUUUUUUUUUUUUUAAACUGAUUUUGUUCAUCAAUAUACAUGCAUUAAUACUUUUUUUUUUAACUGAUUUAAGUGUUACAGGCCAAAAGAGAAAAAGAUUGUAUGAGCAUAUUGGUAACCUCGACCGGUUAAGCAAAAAAGCCAGGAAAGUCAUUGGCGAGACUUGUUAGGUGCUGACUAAGACUGUAGAUGAGCCAUUAAGUGCUUGAAGUGUUACAGGCCAAAAUAAAAAAAUAAUGUAUGAGCAUAUUGGUAACCUCGACCGGUUAAGCAAAAAAGGCAGGAAAGUCAUUGGCUAGCCUUGUUAGGUGCUGACUAAGACUAAGACUAAGAUGAGCCAUUUAGUGUUUGAAGUGUUACAGGCCAAAAUAGAAAAAAAUAGUAAGAGCAUAUUGGUAACUUUGACCGGUUAAGCAAAAAGACAGGAAAGUCAUUGGCUAGCCUUGUUAGGUGCUGACUACGACUGCAGAUGAGCCAUUAAGUGUUUGAAGUGUUACAGGCCAAAAUAGAAAAAAAUAGUAAGAGCAUAUUGGUAACCUCGACCGGUUAAGCAAAAAAGGCAGGAAAGUCAUUGGCUAGCCUUGUUAGGUGCUGACUAAGACUGUAGAUGAGCCAUUAAGUGUUUGAAGUGUUACAGGCCAAAAUAGAAAAGAAUAGUACUUUUUUUUUUUUUAACUGAUUUUGUUUAUCAAUAUACAUGCAUAAAUACUUUUUUUUUUUUUUAACUGAUUUUGUUUAUCAAUAUACAUGCAUUAAUACUUUUUUUUUUUUUUUUUUUUUUUUUUACUGAUUUAAGUGUUACAGGCCAAAAGAGAAAACAUUUGUAUGAGCAUAUUGGUAACCUCGACCGGUUAAGCAAAAAAGGCAGGAAAGUCAUUGGCGAGACUUGUUAGGUGCUGACUAAGACUGUAGAUGAGCCAUUAAGUGUUUGAAGUGUUACAGGCCAAAAUAAAAAAAAAAUUUACUUUUUUUUUUUUUAACUGAUUUUGUUUAUCAAUAUACAUGCAUAAAUACUUUUUUUUUUUUUAACUGAUUUUGUUUAUCAAUAUACAUGCAUUAAUACUUUUUUUUUUUUUUUUUUUUUUUUUACUGAUUUAAGUGUUACAGGCCAAAAGAGAAAACAUUUGUAUGAGCAUAUUGGUAACCUCGACCGGUUAAGCAAAAAAGGCAGGAAAGUCAUUGGCGAGACUUGUUAGGUGCUGACUAAGACUGUAGAUGAGCCAUUAAGUGUUUGAAGUGUUACAGGCCAAAAUAAAAAAAAAAUUGUACUUUUUUUUUUUUUUAAUGAUUUUGUUUGUCAAUAUACAUGCAUAAAUACUUUUUUUUUUUUUUUUUUACUGAUUUUGUUCAUCAAUAUACAUGCAUAAAUAGUAUUUUUUUUUUUUUAACUGAUUUUGUUUAUCAAUAUACAUGCAUUAAUACUUUUUUUUAACUGAUUUAAGUGUUACAGGCCAAAAGAGAAAAAGAUUGUAUGAGCCAAUGUAACCUCGACCGGUUAAGCAAAAAAGGCAGGAAAGUCAUUGGCU